RNAcentral lists this ribosomal RNA (374 nucleotides) under uncultured organism. RNAcentral's name for it is "partial 16S ribosomal RNA". It matches the Rfam family "Bacterial small subunit ribosomal RNA", at positions 527 to 896 of the family's 1533-position model. The record is from RNAcentral.
GUAGGUGGCAAGCGUUGUCCGGAAUUAUUGGGCGUAAAGCGCGCGCAGGUGGUUCUUUAAGUCUGAUGUGAAAGACCCCCGGGCUCAACCGGGGAGGGUCAUUGGAAACUGGGGAACUUGAGUGCAGGAGAGGAAAGUGGAAUUCCACGUGUAGCGGUGAAGUGCGUAGAUAUGUGGAGGAACACCAGUGGCGAAGGCGACUUUCUGGCCUGUAACUGACACUGAGGCGCGAAAGCGUGGGGAGCAAACAGGAUUAGAUACCCUGGUAGUCCACGCCGUAAACGAUGAGUGCUAAGUGUUGGGGGGUUUCCGCCCCUCAGUGCUGCAGCUAACGCACUAAGCACUCCGCCUGGGGAGUACGGUCGCAAAGACUG